This is a non-coding RNA of Phrynosoma platyrhinos (Desert horned lizard), 72 nucleotides long. NCBI's taxonomy places the organism in Eukaryota, Metazoa, Chordata, Lepidosauria, Squamata, Phrynosomatidae. The record is from the annotation of a GenBank genome assembly.
GCCAGUGUGGUUCAGUGGUUUGAGUGGUGGGCUAGGAUGCCGGAGACCAGGGUUUGAAUCCCUGCUCAGCCA